AUUGAACGCUGGCGGCAGGCCUAACACAUGCAAGUCGAACGAGUGGCGGACGGGAGAGCAAUGUCUGGGCAACUGCCUGAUGGAGGGGGAUAACUACUGGAAACGGUAGCCAAUACCGCAUACCUUAAGAUGUGCCCAGGUGGGAGUAGCUAGUUGGUGGGGUAACGGCUCACCAAGGCGACGAUCCCUAGCUGGUGUGAGAGGAUGACCAGCCACACGGGAACUGAGACACGGUCCAGACUCCUACGGGAGGCAGCAGUGGGGAAUAUUGCACAAUGGGCGCAAGCCUGAUGCAGCCAUGCCGCGUGUAUGAAGAAGGCCUUCGGGUUGUAAAGUACUUUCAGCGGGGAGGCGUUACCCGCAGAAGAAGCACCGGCUAACUCCGUGCCAGCAGCCGCGGUAAUUC
Molecule: ribosomal RNA, 406 nt
Filed under: uncultured bacterium
Lineage: Bacteria
Description: partial 16S ribosomal RNA
Rfam family: Bacterial small subunit ribosomal RNA
Source: RNAcentral